GUGGGUAGUUUGACUGGGGCGGUCUCCUCCUAAAGAGUAACGGAGGAGCACGAAGGUUAGCUAAUCCUGGUCGGACAUCAGGAGGUUAGUGCAAAGGCAUAAGCUAGCUUGACUGCGAGAGUGACGGCUCGAGCAGGUGCGAAAGCAGGUCUUAGUGAUCCGGUGGUUCUGAAUGGAAGGGCCAUCGCUCAACGGAUAAAAGGUACUCCGGGGAUAACAGGCUGAUACCGCCCAAGAGUUCAUAUCGACGGCGGUGUUUGGCACCUCGAUGUCGGCUCAUCACAUCCUGGGGCUGAAGUAGGUCCCAAGGGUAUGGCUGUUCGCCAUUUAAAGUGGUACGCGAGCUGGGUUUAGAACGUCGUGAGACAGUUCGGUCCCUAUCUGCCGUGGGCGCUGGAGAAUUGAGGGGGGCUGCUCCUAGUACGAGAGGACCGGAGUGGACGCAUCACUGGUGUUCGGGUUGUCAUGCCAAUGGCAUUGCCCGGUAGCUAAAUGCGGAAGAGAUAAGUGCUGAAAGCAUCUAAGC
This 526-nucleotide ribosomal RNA is filed under the name Citrobacter freundii. RNAcentral describes it as "partial 23S ribosomal RNA". It matches the Rfam family "Bacterial large subunit ribosomal RNA", at positions 2261 to 2786 of the family's 2925-position model. Lineage: Bacteria; Pseudomonadati; Pseudomonadota; Gammaproteobacteria; Enterobacterales; Enterobacteriaceae. The record is from RNAcentral.